UAAAAUGUAAAUAAAAAUAUCCAAUCAUAGG
This 31-nucleotide non-coding RNA is filed under the name Rattus norvegicus (Norway rat). Lineage: Eukaryota; Metazoa; Chordata; Mammalia; Rodentia; Muridae. The record is from RNAcentral.